UACGUAGGGGGCAAGCGUUGUCCGGAAUCAUUGGGCGUAAAGAGCGUGUAGGCGGCCAGAAAAGUCCGCUGUGAAAACUCGAGGCUCAACUUCGAGCUGUCGGUGGAAACUUUCUGGCUAGAGUCCGGAAGAGGAGAAUGGAAUUCCUGGUGUAGCGGUGAAAUGCGCAGAUAUCAGGAGGAACACCUGUGGCGAAAGCGGCUCACUGGACCAUAACUGACGCUGAUGCACGAAAGCUAGGGGAGCAAACAGG
This 253-nucleotide ribosomal RNA is filed under the name uncultured bacterium. Its description in RNAcentral is "partial 16S ribosomal RNA". It matches the Rfam family "Bacterial small subunit ribosomal RNA", at positions 524 to 776 of the family's 1533-position model. The record is from RNAcentral.